UCACCUCAUAAUUCCAUAAUU
RNAcentral lists this non-coding RNA (21 nucleotides) under Caenorhabditis elegans. Lineage: Eukaryota; Metazoa; Nematoda; Chromadorea; Rhabditida; Rhabditidae. The record is from RNAcentral.